This 309-nucleotide ribosomal RNA is filed under the name uncultured Pseudomonas sp. Its description in RNAcentral is "bacterial SSU rRNA". It matches the Rfam family "Bacterial small subunit ribosomal RNA", at positions 1077 to 1382 of the family's 1533-position model. The record is from RNAcentral. Lineage: Bacteria; Pseudomonadati; Pseudomonadota; Gammaproteobacteria; Pseudomonadales; Pseudomonadaceae.
GGGUUAAGUCCGUAACGAGCGCAACCCUUGUCCUUAGUUACCAGCACGUUAUGGUGGGCGACUCUAAGGAGACUGCCGGUGACAAACCGGAGGAAGGUGGGGAGUGACGUCAAGUCAUCAUGGCCCUUACGGCCUCGGGCUACACACGUGCUACAAUGGUCGGUACAAAGGGUUGCCAAGCCGCGAGGUGGAGCUAAUCCCAUAAAACCGAUCGUAGUCCGGAUCGCAGUCCGCAACUCGACUGCGUGAAGUCGGAAUCGCUAGUAAUCGUGAAAUCAGAAUGUCACGGUGAAUACGUUCCCGGGCCUU